RNAcentral lists this ribosomal RNA (119 nucleotides) under Pteropus alecto (black flying fox). The record is from RNAcentral. Lineage: Eukaryota; Metazoa; Chordata; Mammalia; Chiroptera; Pteropodidae.
GUCUACGCCCAUGCCACCCUGAUCAUGCCCGAUAUUGUCUGAUCUCAGAAGCUAAGCAGGGUCGGUCCUAAUUAGUACUUGGAUGGGAGACCACCUAGGAAGACCAGGUGCUGUAGGCU